Molecule: small RNA, 125 nt
Filed under: Marmota monax (woodchuck)
Lineage: Eukaryota; Metazoa; Chordata; Mammalia; Rodentia; Sciuridae
Source: RNAcentral
GCUGGGUGCUGUGGCCCAUGCCUGUAAUCCCAGCAGCUCAGGAGGCUGAGACAGGAGGAUUGCAUGUUUAAAGCCAGCCUCAGCAAAAGGGAGGUGAUAAGCAACACAGUGAGAUCCUAUCUCUA